UACGUAGGGUGCAAGCAUUAAUCGGAUUUAUUGGGCGUAAAGGGCGCGUAGGCGGAUCAGCCAGUCAAUUGUGAAAUCCCUCAGCUCAACUGAGGAACGGCAGAUGAUACUACUGAUCUUGAGGGUAGGCGGAGAGAACGGAAUUCCACGUGUAGCGGUGAAAUGCGUAGAUAUGUGGAAGAACACCGGUGGCGAAAGCGGUUCUCUAGCUUACACCUGACGCUGAGGCGCGAAAGCAAGGGGAGCAAACAGG
This 253-nucleotide ribosomal RNA is filed under the name uncultured prokaryote. RNAcentral's name for it is "partial 16S ribosomal RNA". It matches the Rfam family "Bacterial small subunit ribosomal RNA", at positions 524 to 776 of the family's 1533-position model. The record is from RNAcentral.